UGAAUACGAGACGCUAAGGCGUCGAAGUAGUGUAUGUCAUACUUCCAAGAAAAGCUUGCACUGUCAUAGAUAAAAAACGCCUGUACCAUAACCGACACAGGUGGGUAGGUAGAGCAUACUAAGGGGCGCGAGAUAACUCUCUCUAAGGAACUCGGCAAAAUAACUCCGUAACUUCGGGAGAAGGAGUGCCUUAUUCGUAAGGUUGCAAUAACAAGAUCCAAGCAACUGUUUAUCAAAAACACAGGUCUCCGCUAAGUCGUAAGACGAUGUAUGGGGGCUGACGCCUGCCCAGUGCCAGAAGGUUAAAGAAGUUGGUUAGCAAUUGCGAAGCUGAUAACUGAAGCCCUGGUGAACGGCGGCCGUAACUAUAACGGUCCUAAGGUAGCGAAAUUCCUUGUCGGGUAAGUUCCGACCCGCACGAAAGGCGUAAUGAUUUGGAUACUGUCUCGGAGAGGGGCUCGGUGAAAUAGACUUGUCUGUGAAGAUGCGGACUACCUGCACCAGGACAGAAAGACCCUAUGAAGCUUUACUGUAACUUGAAAUUGAAAUUGGACUUUAUUCGCGCAGUAUAGGUGGGAGGCGUUGAUUAUAAUCUUGUGGGAUUAUUGGAGCCAUCAGUGAGAUACCACUCUUGUAAUGUUAGAUUUCUAACUUUGAAUCAUUAUCUGGUCAAAGAACAGUUUCAGGCGGGCAGUUUGACUGGGGCGGUCGCCUCCUAAACGGUAACGGAGGCGUACAAAGGUUUCCUCUGAACGGUUAGAAAUCGUAUCUAGAGUGUAAAGGCAUAAGGAAGCUUGACUGUGAGACCUACAAGUCGAGCAGGGACGAAAGUCGGUCUUAGUGAUCUGACGGUACUGAGUGGAAAGGCCGUCACUCAACGGAUAAAAGUUACUCUAGGAUAACAGGCUGAUCUCCCCCAAGAGUUCACAUCGACGGGGAGGUUUGGCACCUCGAUGUCGGCUCAUCGCAUCCUGGGGCGGUAGUACGUCCCAAGGGUUGGGCUGUUCGCCCAUGAAAGCGGUACGCGAGCUGGGUUCAGAACGUCGUGAGACAGUUCGGUCCAUAUCCGGUGUAGGCGUUAGAAUAUUGAGAGGAGCCUUCUUUAGUACGAGAGGACCGAGAAGGACAUACCUCUGGUGUACCAGUUAUCGUGCCAACGGUAAACGCUGGGUAGCUAUGUAUGGAGUGGAUAACCGCUGAAAGCAUCUAAGUGGGAAGCCCCCCUCAAGAUAAGUAUUCUCAUG
RNAcentral lists this ribosomal RNA (1244 nucleotides) under metagenome. RNAcentral describes it as "bacterial LSU rRNA". It matches the Rfam family "Bacterial large subunit ribosomal RNA", at positions 1564 to 2818 of the family's 2925-position model. The record is from RNAcentral.